Molecule: unclassified non-coding RNA, 475 nt
Filed under: Hevea brasiliensis (rubber tree)
Lineage: Eukaryota; Viridiplantae; Streptophyta; Magnoliopsida; Malpighiales; Euphorbiaceae
Source: RNAcentral
AACUGAAUGGAUGUUCAAGGUUGCUGAAGGUGCCACGGCACUUUACAUGGAACAGCUUCGAGGGAUCCAGUAUAUAACAGAUCGUGGAGCACAACAACUCUCUGUUGAUAUCGAGUAUCUAAGCAAUGUACUAUCAGCUCUAUCAAUGCCAAUUCCUACAUGUCUUGCUACAUUCCAGACAUGUUUUUCAACACCUAAAGAUCAGCUCAAGGAUCUUAUAAAGUCAGAUUCUGGGAAUCAGCUUGAUCUUCCUACUGCUAACCUCGUCUGCAAGAUGCGACGUAUCAGUUUAGAAUGAUGACUACUUCUUAGUCAUCAUGCUGUGUUGUUACUGCUGCAGAAAUGGUACAACACUAGACCUAUUUGUUGUAGAGAGUUUUGUUUUUUUCUCCUUUCUCCAUAGAUAACAGUUGUGUUUACUUUCUAGACCUUGACAAAUUUUUGUACAAGUACGUUCUAAAGUUAUAUGUGAAAG